UUGUGCCAGCAGCCGCGGUAAUACGAAGGGGGCUAGCGUUGCUCGGAAUCACUGGGCGUAAAGGGCGCGUAGGCGGCCAUUUAAGUCGGGGGUGAAAGCCUGUGGCUCAACCACAGAAUUGCCUUCGAUACUGGGUGGCUUGAGUCCGGAAGAGGUUGGUGGAACUGCGAGUGUAGAGGUGAAAUUCGUAGAUAUUCGCAAGAACACCGGUGGCGAAGGCGGCCAACUGGUCCGGAACUGACGCUGAGGCGCGAAAGCGUGGGGAGCAAACAGG
RNAcentral lists this ribosomal RNA (274 nucleotides) under uncultured Hyphomicrobiales bacterium. RNAcentral describes it as "uncultured Rhizobiales bacterium partial 16S ribosomal RNA". It matches the Rfam family "Bacterial small subunit ribosomal RNA", at positions 503 to 776 of the family's 1533-position model. The record is from RNAcentral. Lineage: Bacteria; Pseudomonadati; Pseudomonadota; Alphaproteobacteria; Hyphomicrobiales.